CGAACUCUGGUAUUGAUUGGUGCUUGCAUCAUGAUUUACAUUUGAGUGAGUGGCGAACUGGUGAGUAACACGUGGGAAACCUGCCCAGAAGCGGGGGAUAACACCUGGAAACAGAUGCUAAUACCGCAUAACAACUUGGACCGCAUGGUCCGAGUUUGAAAGAUGGCUUCGGCUAUCACUUUUGGAUGGUCCCGCGGCGUAUUAGCUAGAUGGUGGGGUAACGGCUCACCAUGGCAAUGAUACGUAGCCGACCUGAGAGGGUAAUCGGCCACAUUGGGACUGAGACACGGCCCAAACUCCUACGGGAGGCAGCAGUAGGGAAUCUUCCACAAUGGACGAAAGUCUGAUGGAGCAACGCCGCGUGAGUGAAGAAGGGUUUCGGCUCGUAAAACUCUGUUGUUAAAGAAGAACAUAUCUGAGAGUAACUGUUCAGGUAUUGACGGUAUUUAACCAGAAAGCCACGGCUAACUACGUGCCAGCAGCCGCGGUAAUACGUAGGUGGCAAGCGUUGUCCGGAUUUAUUGGGCGUAAAGCGAGCGCAGGCGGUUUUUUAAGUCUGAUGUGAAAGCCUUCGGCUCAACCGAAGAAGUGCAUCGGAAACUGGGAAACUUGAGUGCACAAGAGGACAGUGGAACUCCAUGUGUAGCGGUGAAAUGCGUAUAUAUAUGGAAGAACACCAGUGGCGAAAGGCGGCUGUCUGGUCUGUAUCUGA
Molecule: ribosomal RNA, 712 nt
Filed under: Lactiplantibacillus plantarum
Lineage: Bacteria; Bacillati; Bacillota; Bacilli; Lactobacillales; Lactobacillaceae
Description: bacterial SSU rRNA
Rfam family: Bacterial small subunit ribosomal RNA
Source: RNAcentral